CCGCACGGGGAACUCCAGGUCGAGCGCGGAGUCCGCGGCAGGGGUGCCCGGAGGAGCCGGCUCGCCGCCCGCAGGCCGGGGGCGGUCUCGGGAGGCUGAGGGCGCGUUGGAGCACAGAGUACCUCGCGGACUGCGUGUGCACCACGGGCGCGGGACCUCGGGCAGCCGCCUAGAGAUGCGCAGUCGGGCUGCAGGACACUUAGUAGGACGGGAAAUGGCUCCUACCCAGAAGGUGAGAUGGAAUCUUCGCGCUGUGACCCUUUCUCCUGGAAGGACCUACAUCUGUGAAGACCAUUUGAGACUUGACCUCCACCUGAGUGCAGACAAGAUGCCAUUUUGUUCGGAAGUACACGCAUUGCCCCCAGCCAACCCUACCAUGUUUGAUGGGGGAUUGGUUACAGCCGGAGCAUAUGGGCAUUUUAACCCAAUUUUAUUAUAGUCGACCAAAAUUAGUUCGCCUCUGCCAAAAUUAACCCCCUGCAGACAUAGCAAAGCGCUCCACUAAGCAGGGGUUUCAGGCUGGGUUGAAGAUAGAUGCAGCUGGUUAAAGGAGUGAAAGUUUUCAGCUGUCCCCACACCCCCCCAAAAAAGUUGUCCAGCUCAUAUUUCCAUAAUAUCAGAGAAAUGAAUCUUUUGAAACCUACGUUUUGUCUAAUUUGUCAGUGACUUUUUAGUUAGUGAAAUGUUGGCGGAAUUCAGCUUCCCUUAAGCCCUCAGCUCUCAGCUGUGAUGGCAAUUGCCGCGAGCCUUUGAUCAGUGCUCACAUGUGAUGUAAUAAAAACUACCAUUCAUGGAGAGCUCUGUGCUAAGCGCUUUACAUGGAUUGUCUGACUGAGUCCUCACAAUAACUGGGAGCUAUUACUUCUCCAUUUUACACAUGAGGAAGUUGAGGCUAGAAGGAUUUACUAAUUUGUCCUCAGACCACAAAGAGAUGGUUUUACAUCCCUAACUAGCUGCAUAGAAAGCUGGGAGCUGAACCAGCAUGCCAUACUGCCACCUACCUACAGCAGCGCUGGCAGAAGUUCUUCAGCUCAGCCAGCAGACCAGCCGGCAUCUGCCUUGUGCCCGGCGCUGAGCCCGCUCCAGCUGGGAAUGCCCAGAUCCUGGUCUAAUUGAGAAGCUUGUAGCAGGGGAACUUUGAACCUGGCUGCCUGGGUAAACUUUUUAAAUGAGCAAUAAGCCGGUAAGUGCUUCACACAGGUUAUCCUAAUCUGACAAGCACGUACCUAGUUUAUAGUUAAUGUCCACAGAUGCAAAACUCACGUGCUUUGGGGUUGGAGAAGCUGCUCUUGCCCUCUUCAGGUAGAAAAAGAAAUGACUUUUUCCGUCUAAACUUCCCAUGGACAAUGAAGAAGAAAGAUUUUUCCAAAACCACAAAACAAUGUCUUCUAUUUCACUGGCACAUAAUUUAUCUGUGUCUAACUUAACCCCGUUAAAUUGAGGCUGAAUUUUAAAAUUGUAAUCUCAAUUUCUACCGUUUGUGAUGAAUCUCAAUCUCGCGUUGCCCCUUCUUAUUUUAUUUAUAAAUAGAAACUGUGGCUCUGUAUUUCUAUUUCUAGAAAA
Macaca mulatta (Rhesus monkey) is the source of this 1563-nucleotide non-coding RNA. The record is from RefSeq and is a predicted model, not a curated record. NCBI's taxonomy places the organism in Eukaryota, Metazoa, Chordata, Mammalia, Primates, Cercopithecidae.